This 833-nucleotide ribosomal RNA is filed under the name uncultured Flavobacteriales bacterium. RNAcentral's name for it is "bacterial SSU rRNA". It matches the Rfam family "Bacterial small subunit ribosomal RNA", at positions 72 to 902 of the family's 1533-position model. Lineage: Bacteria; Pseudomonadati; Bacteroidota; Flavobacteriia; Flavobacteriales. The record is from RNAcentral.
UCCCGCAGCAAUGCGGGAUGAUGGCGACCGGCAAACGGGUGCGGAACACGUACACAACCUUCCUUUAAGUGGGGAAUAGCCCGGGGAAACCCGGAUUAAUACCCCGUAACAUAAUGAAGUGGCAUCACUUUAUUAUUAUAGCUCCGGCGCUUUAAGAUGGGUGUGCGACUGAUUAGGCAGUUGGCGGGGUAACGGCCCACCAAACCUACGAUCAGUAACUGGUGUGAGAGCACGACCAGUCACACGGGCACUGAGACACGGGCCCGACUCCUACGGGAGGCAGCAGUAAGGAAUAUUGGUCAAUGGACGCAAGUCUGAACCAGCCAUGCCGCGUGGAGGAUGAAGGUCCUCUGGAUUGUAAACUUCUUUUAUCUGGGAAGAAAUCCACGAAUUCUUUUGUGGUUGACGGUACCAGAUGAAUAAGCACCGGCUAACUCCGUGCCAGCAGCCGCGGUAAUACGGAGGGUGCAAGCGUUAUCCGGAUUCACUGGGUUUAAAGGGUGCGUAGGUGGGCAGGUAAGUCAGUGGUGAAAUCUCCGGGCUUAACUCGGAAACUGCCAUUGAUACUAUCUUUCUUGAAUACCGUGGAGGUCAGCGGAAUAUGUCAUGUAGCGGUGAAAUGCUUAGAUAUGACAUAGAACACCAAUUGCGAAGGCAGCUGGCUACACGAAUAUUGACACUGAUGCACGAAAGCGUGGGGAUCAAACAGGAUUAGAUACCCUGGUAGUCCACGCCCUAAACGAUGGAUACUCGACAUACGCGAUAUACUGUGUGUGUCUGAGCGAAAGCAUUAAGUAUCCCACCUGGGAAGUACGAUCGCAAGAUUGAAACUC